RNAcentral lists this ribosomal RNA (1400 nucleotides) under uncultured bacterium. RNAcentral's name for it is "bacterial SSU rRNA". It matches the Rfam family "Bacterial small subunit ribosomal RNA". The record is from RNAcentral.
AGAGUUUGAUCCUGGCUCAGGAUGAACGCUAGCGGCAGGCUUAACACAUGCAAGUCGAGGGGCAUCGGGAGGGAAGCUUGCUUUCCUUGCCGGCGACCGGCGCACGGGUGAGUAACACGUAUGCAACCUGCCCUCUUCAGGGGGACAACCUUCCGAAAGGGAGGCUAAUCCCGCGUAUAUCGGUUUCGGGCAUCCGAGAUCGAGGAAAGAUUCAUCGGAAGAGGAUGGGCAUGCGGCGCAUUAGCUAGACGGCGGGGUAACGGCCCACCGUGGCGACGAUGCGUAGGGGUUCUGAGAGGAAGGUCCCCCACACUGGUACUGAGACACGGACCAGACUCCUACGGGAGGCAGCAGUGAGGAAUAUUGGUCAAUGGGAGAGAUCCUGAACCAGCCAAGCCGCGUGAGGGAAGACGGCCCUAUGGGUUGUAAACCUCUUUUGUUGGAGAACAAAACCCGGGACGUGUCCCGGACUGCGUGUAUCCGAAGAAAAAGCAUCGGCUAACUCCGUGCCAGCAGCCGCGGUAAUACGGAGGAUGCGAGCGUUAUCCGGAUUUAUUGGGUUUAAAGGGUGCGUAGGCGGUCCGUUAAGUCAGCGGUAAAAUUGCGGGGCUCAACCCCGUCGAGCCGUUGAAACUGGCAGACUUGAGUUGGCGAGAAGUACGCGGAAUGCGCGGUGUAGCGGUGAAAUGCAUAGAUAUCGCGCAGAACUCCGAUUGCGAAGGCAGCGUACCGGCGCCAGACUGACGCUGAGGCACGAAAGCGUGGGGAUCGAACAGGAUUAGAUACCCUGGUAGUCCACGCAGUAAACGAUGAAUGCUGGUUGUCCGGGUCGAAUGAGAUCUGGGCGGCGAAGCGAAAGCGAUAAGCAUUCCACCUGGGGAGUACGCCGGCAACGGUGAAACUCAAAGGAAUUGACGGGGGCCCGCACAAGCGGAGGAACAUGUGGUUUAAUUCGAUGAUACGCGAGGAACCUUACCCGGGCUCAAACGGGAGUGGAAUGGAUCAGAGACGGUUCAGCCUACGGGCCGCUUCCGAGGUGCUGCAUGGUUGUCGUCAGCUCGUGCCGUGAGGUGUCGGCUUAAGUGCCAUAACGAGCGCAACCCCCGCCGGCAGUUGCUAACGGGCAAUGCCGAGGACUCUGCCGGGACUGCCGCCGCAAGGCGAGAGGAAGGCGGGGAUGACGUCAAAUCAGCACGGCCCUUACGUCCGGGGCGACACACGUGUUACAAUGGGCGGUACAGCGGGAAGCCAGGCGGCGACGCCGAGCGGAACCCGAAAGCCGUUCUCAGUUCGGAUCGGAGUCUGCAACCCGACUCCGUGAAGCUGGAUUCGCUAGUAAUCGCGCAUCAGCCAUGGCGCGGUGAAUACGUUCCCGGGCCUUGUACUCACCGCCCGUCAAG